RNAcentral lists this ribosomal RNA (498 nucleotides) under Belonion apodion. RNAcentral's name for it is "partial 16S large subunit ribosomal RNA". It matches the Rfam family "Bacterial large subunit ribosomal RNA", at positions 1944 to 2597 of the family's 2925-position model. The record is from RNAcentral. Lineage: Eukaryota; Metazoa; Chordata; Actinopteri; Beloniformes; Belonidae.
GACCGAGCAAAGGUAGNGCAAUCACUUGUCUUUUAAAUGAAGACCUGUAUGAAUGGCAUAACGAGGGCUAAGCUGUCUCCUUUCCCCAAUCAAUAAAAUUGAUCUCCCCGUGCAGAAGCGAGGAUAAUCCCAUAAGACGAGAAGACCCUGUGGAGCUUAAGACGACAAGUAGAUCAUGUUAAUAAAACCAAAUAACAGGAAAAAACUAAUUGAUCCCUACCUUUAUGUCUUUGGUUGGGGCGACCACGGAAUAACAAACAACUCCCGUAUGGAUAAAGUAUAAUCCUUACAACCAAGAGCUACAACUCUAAGUAACAAAAUUUUUGACCAAAAUGAUCCAGCAUUGCUGAUCAAUGAACCAAGUUACCCCAGGGAUAACAGCGCAAUCCUCUUCUAGAGUCCAUAUCAACGAGAGGGUUUACGACCUCGAUGUUGGAUCAGGACAUCCUAAUGGUGCAGCCGCUAUUAAGGGUUCGUUUGUUCAACGAUUAAAGUCCU